RNAcentral lists this ribosomal RNA (258 nucleotides) under uncultured bacterium. RNAcentral's name for it is "partial 16S ribosomal RNA". It matches the Rfam family "Bacterial small subunit ribosomal RNA", at positions 57 to 305 of the family's 1533-position model. The record is from RNAcentral.
GCAAGUUUAGCGAUGAAGAUUGGUGCUUGCACCAAUUUGAAGAGCAGCGAACGGGUGAGUAACGCGUGGGGAAUCUGCCUUUGAGCGGGGGACAACAUUUGGAAACGAAUGCUAAUACCGCAUAACCACUUUUAACAUACGCUUUAAGUUUGAAAGAUGCAAUUGCAUCACUCAAAGAUGAUCCCGCGUUGUAUUAGCUAGUGGGUGAGGUAAAGGCUUACCAAGGCGAUGAUACAUAGCCGACCUGAGAGGGUGAUC